AUUGAACGCUGGCGGCAUGCUUUACACAUGCAAGUCGAACGGUAACAGGCCUUCGGGUGCUGACGAGUGGCGAACGGGUGAGUAAUGCAUCGGAACGUACCCAGAGGUGGGGGAUAACGCAGCGAAAGCUGUGCUAAUACUGCAUGUGAUCUGAGGAUGAAAGCGGGGGACCGAGCAGCAAUGUUUGGCCUCGCGCCUUUGGAGCGGCCGAUGUCGGAUUAGCUAGUUGGUGGGGUAAAGGCCUACCAAGGCGACGAUCCGUAGCUGGUCUGAGAGGACGACCAGCCACACGGGGACUGAGACACGGCCCAGACUCCUACGGGAGGCAGCAUGGGGGAAUUUUGGACAAUGGGCGCAAGCCUGAUCCAGCAAUGCCGCGUGCGGGAAGAAGGCCUUCGGGUUGUAAACCGCUUUUGGCAGGAACGAAACGGUGUCCGCUAAUACCGGGCGCUAAUGACGGUACCUGCAGAAUAAGCACCGGCUAACUACGUG
Molecule: ribosomal RNA, 492 nt
Filed under: uncultured bacterium
Lineage: Bacteria
Description: partial 16S ribosomal RNA
Rfam family: Bacterial small subunit ribosomal RNA
Source: RNAcentral